GACGAACGCUGGCGGCGUGCUUAACACAUGCAAGUCGAACGAAGAGCGAUGGAAGCUUGCUUCUAUCAAUCUUAGUGGCGAACGGGUGAGUAACGCGUAAUCAACCUGCCCUUCAGAGGGGGACAACAGUUGGAAACGACUGCUAAUACCGCAUACGAUCUAAUCUCGGCAUCGAGGAUAGAUGAAAGGUGGCCUCUACAUGUAAGCUAUCACUGCAGGAGGGGAUUGCGUCUGAUUAGCUAGUUGGAGGGGUAACGGCCCACCAAGGCGAUGAUCAGGAGCCGGGCGGCGAUGAUGGACAGCCAGAUUGGGACUGUGACAGGGCCCAGAGGGCUAGAGAAGGCAGCCGUGGUGAUUCUGCCGCAAGGAGUGGAAGUCUGACGGAGAAGCGCCGCGUGAGUGAUGAGGACCGUCGGGUUGUGGAGCUCGGUUUAUCGGGUGGAAAGGCCUUCUUGCGGAUAGUGAGAGGGAUUGACGGUACCGGAAAAAGAAGCCACGGCUAACUACGUG
Molecule: ribosomal RNA, 510 nt
Filed under: uncultured bacterium
Lineage: Bacteria
Description: partial 16S ribosomal RNA
Rfam family: Bacterial small subunit ribosomal RNA
Source: RNAcentral